Molecule: long non-coding RNA, 646 nt
Filed under: Phoenix dactylifera (date palm)
Lineage: Eukaryota; Viridiplantae; Streptophyta; Magnoliopsida; Arecales; Arecaceae
Description: long non-coding RNA (PDAC_LNC019376)
Source: RNAcentral
UUUAUCAUUUUUUUGUUAGCAAUAAUACUAAUUUAAGGGAUGUAUAGAUCGCACUUUUGUGCUCUCAUCACACCCCCCAACUAGCUUAUUGCUAGUCUCUAGCAAUUAACGAGCAAAUACUAAAAUGAGAGUGCAAAAGGUGUGGUUUAACCUGUGACUUUUUAUUGAAGCUAAAGAUAUAAAACUAAGAUAUGUACCCACUUUCGUAGGGCUCACGAUUGCACUUAGCACGUGCAACAAGCCGUUAAACCCCUAGGUUACCCUAGUGGACGAGUGUUGUCUCGUGAGGGUUUUUAGGGAUGCUACCCACAAACAUCAUACAUGAUAUGAUAUGACAUGAGAUCCUAAAAAAAAUGUGGAAUAAAUUCUAAGCUAAUACACAUGUAAUUAAUUGAUAUAUAUUUUCAAGCAUGGCAACUAUCAAAGCAAGGAAAUAUAAAAGUGUAGUGUGCAUCAAAUCGCAUGACUUUCUCAGAGUACUAAUACCUCCACCACAACAGAGCACCGCAUGAGUUUUAGGUGCGCUACUCAAGUUUAUAAGUAUUUUCUACAAUUUGUUAGAACCUGAUCCAUCAAAUUUUCAGAAUAUCACAUGUUGUCUAAAUUUGUCAAGAAUGGUUUGCAUGUAAAGAAAGAGCUAUCAAUC